RNAcentral lists this ribosomal RNA (465 nucleotides) under uncultured bacterium. RNAcentral describes it as "partial 16S ribosomal RNA". It matches the Rfam family "Bacterial small subunit ribosomal RNA", at positions 338 to 795 of the family's 1533-position model. The record is from RNAcentral.
CCUACGGGGGGCAGCAGUGGGGAAUAUUGCGCAAUGGGCGAAAGCCUGACGCAGCGACGCCGCGUGAGGGAUGAAGGUCUUCGGAUCGUAAACCUCUGUCAGCAGGGAAGAACGGUCACUGUGCUAAUCAGCAGUGAAUUGACGGUACCUGCAAAGGAAGCACCGGCUAACUCCGUGCCAGCAGCCGCGGUAAUACGGAGGGUGCGAGCGUUAAUCGGAAUUACUGGGCGUAAAGCGCUUGUAGGCGGGAUGGCAAGUCAAGGGUGAAAUCCCCGCGCUCAACGUGGGAACUGCCUUUGAAACUGGCAGACUGGAGUGUGUGAGAGGUUAGUGGAAUUCCAGGUGUAGGCGUGAAAUCCGUAGAUAUCUGGAGGAACAUCAGUGGCGAAGGCGACUAUCUGGCACAUAACUGACGCUGAGGAGCGAAAGCGUGGGUAGCAAACAGGAUUAGAUACCCCGGUAGUC